GAUGAACGCUGGCGGCGUGCUUAACACAUGCAAGUCGAACGGAAAGGCUCCUGCUUGCAGGGGUACUCGAGUGGCGAACGGGUGAGUAACACGUGGGUGAUCUGCCCUGCACUUCGGGAUAAGCCUGGGAAACUGGGUCUAAUACCGGAUAGGACGAUGGUUUGGAUGCCAUUGUGGAAAGUUUUUUCGGUGUGGGAUGAGCUCGCGGCCUAUCAGCUUGUUGGUGGGUAAUGGCCUACCAAGGCGUCGACGGGUAGCCGGCCUGAGAGGGUGUACGGCCACAUUGGGACUGAGAUACGGCCCAGACUCCUACGGGAGCAGCAGUGGGGAAUAUUGCACAAUGGGCGCAAGCCUGAUGCAGCGACGCCGCGUGGGGAUGACGGCCUU
RNAcentral lists this ribosomal RNA (387 nucleotides) under uncultured bacterium. Its description in RNAcentral is "bacterial SSU rRNA". It matches the Rfam family "Bacterial small subunit ribosomal RNA", at positions 28 to 418 of the family's 1533-position model. The record is from RNAcentral.